CUGGCGUCAGGAUGAACGCUGGCGGCGUGCUUAAUACAUGCAAGUCGAACGAAGCACCUGCAACAGGAUCCCUUCGGGGUGAAGAUGCUUGUGACUGAGUGGCGGACGGGUGAGUAACGCGUGGGUAACCUGCCUUAUGCAGGGGGACAACAGUUAGAAAUGACUGCUAAUACCGCAUAAGCGCACGAGACCGCAUGGUUAAGUGUGAAAAGAUUUAUCGGCAUAAGAUGGACCCGCGUCUGAUUAGGUAGUUGGUGAGGUAACGGCCCACCCAAGCCGACGAUCAGUAGCCGACUUGAGAGAGUGAUCGGCCACAUUGGGACUGAGACACGGCCCCAGACUCCUACGGGAGGCAGCAGUAGGGAAUAUUGCACAAUGGGGGAAACCCUGAUGCAAGCGACGCCGCGUGAGUGAUUGAAGUAUUUCGGUACGUAAAGCUCUAUCAGCAGGGAAGAUAAUGACGGUACCUGACUAAGAAGCCCCGGCUAACUACGUGCCAGCAGCGGC
This 507-nucleotide ribosomal RNA is filed under the name uncultured bacterium. RNAcentral's name for it is "bacterial SSU rRNA". It matches the Rfam family "Bacterial small subunit ribosomal RNA", at positions 18 to 518 of the family's 1533-position model. The record is from RNAcentral.